RNAcentral lists this ribosomal RNA (435 nucleotides) under uncultured bacterium. RNAcentral describes it as "partial 16S ribosomal RNA". It matches the Rfam family "Bacterial small subunit ribosomal RNA", at positions 28 to 507 of the family's 1533-position model. The record is from RNAcentral.
GAUGAACGCUGGCGGUAUGCUCAACACAUGCAAGUCGAACGGACUCUUCGGAGUUAGUGGCGGACGGGUGAGUAACGCGUGAGAAUCUGGCUUUGGGUUCGGGACAACCACUGGAAACGGUGGCUAAUACCGGAUGUGCCGAGAGGUAAAAGAGAAAUUGCCUGAAGAUGAGCUCGCGUCUGAUUAGCUAGUUGGUGAGGUAAAGGCUCACCAAGGCAGCGAUCAGUAGCUGGUCUGAGAGGAUGACCAGCCACACUGGGACUGAGACACGGCCCAGACUCCUACGGGAGGCAGCAGUGGGGAAUUUUCCGCAAUGGGCGAAAGCCUGACGGAGCAAUACCGCGUGAGGGAAGAAGGCUCUUGGGUUGUAAACCUCUUUUCUUAGGGAAGAACAAAAUGACGGUACCUAAGGAAUCAGCAUCGGCUAACUCCGUG